AUGAUAAACAAAAAACAAUUAAAAACAGUGGCAGUUAUUUCAGUUGAUUGUUUACAUUCCAAAUCAAUGAUGGCCAACGCAUCAUCCUGGCCACGCCCCUUCAUCUACCCUCAGAAGAGCUCUGAGACCUCCAGGCUGAUGCUCAGACACAAGCAGAUGAAGGAGACGCCCGACACACAAGAACACAGUGCCAUGAACAACCUGCUCUUUUACACCCAACACAGCCCUUUAUGGCACACUGCCUUCUGUCAAAAUCUCACCUUUACCAAGAAAAGAGGCAUCUGUAAAGGCAGACAGAUCUUAGCAUUUGAAGAUGCUGAAAAAAAUGAUGAAACAAGAUUUUUGACCCUGAACUUGUAUCAAAAUGGCACUGUCAUGGCCCAGGGAUCAGAGUCUGCUCUCAAGAUCUUCAUUAAAGAUUUUGAAUUAAUAAAAAAGCUUGCACUGUCUGAUGAAGGGUACAAGAAUAUGAACAUUGUUCCCUCUCCUGAAAAAUCAGUUCUAAAGACGACAGUGACUUCAGCAACUACCAUUCCAUCUCCAAUGUCAAGAAUGAAAGACAACUUUUCACUUCUGGAAGUAGAAGUCGUGGAGAUAAAAGAAUUAAUACUAUCCCACCUGAAAGACAACAACAUGGAACAAGUGACAAUUGAAAUAAAGAACUUAAAACAAGAAGUUGAAUCUCUGCAGAGACACAGAGAAGAAAUGACAGAAGAACUUCAGAAAACCAAAGAUGAAUUAAGGGAAGUAAAAUCAACUUUAGGAAGACAACUUAAGGAGUUAUCGGCCUUGAAGUCAGUACUCCACACCAAAGAUGAACUCAUCACAGAUCUGACAGAAAGACUUAACUCUGUUUCAGCACCUAGAGAGUCUUCUGCCAAACCCUUGACUCGUCCAGAGAUGCUCAUGGAAAACCCUCAACCUGAACAGCAGCCAGUGGAAGAAGAGCCUCACUGCUCGACUGAUCCUGCACCCCAGAUCCACAGCUCCUCUGCACAGGACCUGGGAGAAACACAUGCUCUUAUCCUGACAGACUCUAAUGGGAAAUAUGUCAAAGAGAGACUUCUGCUACCAAACAUGAGAGCCAAGAAAAUCUGGUGCCCAAACACAAGAAGUGCUUUUCAGAUCCUGUCUGAAAGUAAACAUGAAAACUACAAGCACAUCGUAAUCCACACAGGGACGAAUGAUUUAAGGGCCAUGAAGGGCCGUGUGGCUCCUAUAAUGAGAGAGGUGGCGAUCAGAGCCACACAACACUUCCCAGAGGCCAAAGUAACUCUGUUCACACUGCUGCCACGCACCGAUGUGCCUUUCCACGUCAUCCACGGGAAUAAUGUGGAACUCUCCAGAAGCUGCGCACUCAUUCCUAAUGUUCAUCUCGCCCAUAACAAAGACAUACAGCCUCAUCAUAUGUAUGACCACAUACAUCUCAAUAAGCAAAGAGUGAAAGUCUUCGCCAGAGUGCUGAAAAGCACAGCCCUUGGAAACACCGCAAGAAACAACAGAAACUCCGCUAACAGGCGAAGCCCUCGUCCUCCAGCAGAGCCCACGCGGACCACCGGACCCCCAUCCCAACACAAGAGCUAUGCAACACAGAGAAGCCCUCGUCCUCCAGCAGAGCACACACGGACCAGCGGACCCCCAUCCCAACACAAGAGCUACACGGCACAGAGAAGCCCUCGUCCUCCAGCAGAGCCCACACGGACCACCGGACCCCCAUCCCAACACAAGAGCUACGCGACACAGAGAAGCCCUCGUCCUCCAGCAGAGCCCACGCGGACCACCGGACCCCCAUCCCAACACAAGAGCUACGCGACACAGAGAAGCCCUCGUCCUCCAGCAGAGCCCACACGGACCACCGGACCCCCAUCCCAACACAAGAGCUACGCGACACAGAGAAGCCCUCGUCCUCCAGCAGAGCCCACGCGGACCAGCGGACCCCCAUCCCAACACAAGAGCUACGCGACACAGAGAAGCCCUCGUCCUCCAGCAGAGCCCACGCGGACCAGCGGACCCCCAUCCCAACACAAGAGCUACGCGACACAGAGAAGCCCUCGUCCUCCAGCAGAGCCCACACGGACCACCGGCCCCCAUCCCAACACAAGAGCUACGCGACACAGAGAAGCCCUCGUCCUCCAGCAGAGCCCACGCGGACCAGCGGACCCCCAUCCCAACACAAGAGCUACGCGACACAGAGAAGCCCUCGUCCUCCAGCAGAGCCCACGCGGACCAGCGGACCCCCAUCCCAACACAAGAGCUACGCGACACAGAGAAGCCCUCGUCCUCCAGCAGAGCCCACACGGACCACCGGCCCCCAUCCCAACACAAGAGCUACGCGACACAGAGAAGCCCUCGUCCUCCAGCAGAGCCCACACGGACCACCGGCCCCCAUCCCAACACAAGAGCUACGCGACACAGAGAAGCCCUCGUCCUCCAGCAGAGCCCACACGGACCAGCGGACCCCCAUCCCAACACAAGAGCUACGCGACACAGAGAAGCCCUCGUCCUCCAGCAGAGCCCACGCGGACCAGCGGACCCCCAUCCCAACACAAGAGCUACGCGACACAGAGAAGCCCUCGUCCUCCAGCAGAGCCCACGCGGACCAGCGGACCCCCAUCCCAACACAAGAGCUACGCGACACAGAGAAGCCCUCGUCCUCCAGCAGAGCCCACACGGACCACCGGCCCCCAUCCCAACACAAGAGCUACGCGACACAGAGAAGCCCUCGUCCUCCAGCAGAGCCCACACGGACCAGCGGACCCCCAUCCCAACACAAGAGCUACGCGACACAGAGAAGCCCUCGUCCUCCAGCAGAGCCCACACGGACCACCGGACCCCAUCCCAACACAAGAGCUACGCGACACAGAGAAGCCCUCGUCCUCCAGCAGAGCCCACACGGACCACUGGACCCCCAUCCCAACACAAGAGCUACGCGGCACAGAGAAGCCCUCGUCCUCCAGCAGAGCCCACACGGACCAGCGGACCCCCAUCCCAACACAAGAGCUACGCGACACAGAAGCCCUCGUCCUCCAGCAGAGCCCACACGGACCACCGGCCCCCAUCCCAACACAAGAGCUACGCGACACAGAGAAGCCCUCGUCCUCCAGCAGAGCCCACGCGGACCACCGGACCCCCAUCCCAACACAAGAGCUACGCGACACAGAGAAGCCCUCGUCCUCCAGCAGAGCCCACACGGACCACCGGACCCCCAUCCCAACACAAGAGCUACGCGACACAGAAGCCCUCGUCCUCCAGCAGAGCCCACACGGACCAGCGGACCCCCAUCCCAACACAAGAGCUACGCGACACAGAGAAGCCCUCGUCCUCCAGCAGAGCCCACACGGACCACCGGACCCCCAUCCCAACACAAGAGCUACGCGACACAGAAGCCCUCGUCCUCCAGCAGAGCCCACACGGACCACCGGACCCCAUCCCAACACAAGAGCUACGCGACACAGAGAAGCCCUCGUCCUCCAGCAGAGCCCACACGGACCACUGGACCCCCAUCCCAACACAAGAGCUACGCGGCACAGAGAAGCCCUCGUCCUCCAGCAGAGCCCACACGGACCAGCGGACCCCCAUCCCAACACAAGAGCUACGCGACACAGAAGCCCUCGUCCUCCAGCAGAGCCCACACGGACCACCGGACCCCCAUCCCAACACAAGAGCUACGCGACACAGAGAAGCCCUCGUCCUCCAGCAGAGCCCACGCGGACCACCGGACCCCCAUCCCAACACAAGAGCUACGCGACACAGAGAAGCCCUCGUCCUCCAGCAGAGCCCACACGGACCACCGGACCCCCAUCCCAACACAAGAGCUACGCGACACAGAAGCCCUCGUCCUCCAGCAGAGCCCACACGGACCAGCGGACCCCCAUCCCAACACAAGAGCUACGCGACACAGAAGCCCUCGUCCUCCAGCAGAGCCCACGCGGACCACCGGACCCCCAUCCCAACACAAGAGCUACGCGACACAGAGGAGCCCUCGUCCUCCAGCAGAGCCCACGCGGACCACCGGACCCCCAUCCCAACACAAGAGCUACGCGACACAGAGAAGCCCUCGUCCUCCAGCAGAGCCCACACGGACCAGCGGACCCACAUCCCAACACAAGAGCUACGCGACACAGAGAAGCCCUCGUCCUCCAGCAGAGCCCACACGGACCACCGGACCCCCAUCCCAACACAAGAGCUACGCGACACAGAGAAGCCCUCGUCCUCCAGCAGAGCCCACACGGACCACUGGACCCCCAUCCCAACACAAGAGCUACGCGACACAGAGAAGCCCUCGUCCUCCAGCAGAGCCCACACGGACCACCGGACCCCCAUCCCAACACAAGAGCUACGCGACACAGAGAAGCCCUCGUCCUCCAGCAGAGCACACACGGACCACCGGACCCCCAUCCCAACACAAGAGCUACGCGACACAGAGAAGCCCUCGUCCUCCAGCAGAGCCCACACGGACCACCGGACCCCCAUCCCAACACAAGAGCUACGCGACACAGAGAAGCCCUCGUCCUCCAGCAGAGCCCACGCGGACCACCGGACCCCCAUCCCAACACAAGAGCUACGCGACACAGAGAAGCCCUCGUCCUCCAGCAGAGCCCACGCGGACCACUGGACCCCCAUCCCAACACAAGAGCUACGCGACACAGAGAAGCCCUCGUCCUCCAGCAGAGCCCACACGGACCACCGGACCCCCAUCCCAACACAAGAGCUACGCGACACAGAGAAGCCCUCGUCCUCCAGCAGAGCCCACGCGGACCACCGGACCCCCAUCCCAACACAAGAGCUACGCGACACAGAGAAGCCCUCGUCCUCCAGCAGAGCCCACGCGGACCACCGGACCCCCAUCCCAACACAAGAGCUACGCGACACAGAGAAGCCCUCGUCCUCCAGCAGAGCCCACACGGACCAGCGGACCUCCAUCCCAACACAAGAGCUACGCGACACAGAGAAGCCCUCGUCCUCCAGCAGAGCCCACACGGACCACCGGACCCCCAUCCCAACACAAGAGCUACGCGACACAGAGAAGCCCUCGUCCUCCAGCAGAGCCCACACGGACCACUGGACCCCCAUCCCAACACAAGAGCUACGCGACACAGAGAAGCCCUCGUCCUCCAGCAGAGCCCACACGGACCACCGGACCCCCAUCCCAACACAAGAGCUACGCGACACAGAGAAGCCCUCGUCCUCCAGCAGAGCACACACGGACCACCGGACCCCCAUCCCAACACAAGAGCUACGCGACACAGAGAAGCCCUCGUCCUCCAGCAGAGCCCACACGGACCACCGGACCCCCAUCCCAACACAAGAGCUACGCGACACAGAGAAGCCCUCGUCCUCCAGCAGAGCCCACGCGGACCACCGGACCCCCAUCCCAACACAAGAGCUACGCGACACAGAGAAGCCCUCGUCCUCCAGCAGAGCCCACGCGGACCACUGGACCCCCAUCCCAACACAAGAGCUACGCAGCGGCCGCUCAACAACCACAGAACCCUGCAGCCGCUGAACUCAACCAGAUCCAACAUCUGCUGA
This 5532-nucleotide long non-coding RNA is filed under the name Carassius auratus (goldfish). RNAcentral's name for it is "lncRNA (ENSCARG00000067969.1)". Lineage: Eukaryota; Metazoa; Chordata; Actinopteri; Cypriniformes; Cyprinidae. The record is from RNAcentral.